AACCUUUAGGUAAACAAGCAUUAAAGGCAAUACCUGCCCAGUGAACAAUUAAACGGCCGCGGUACCCUAACCGUGCAAAGGUAGCGUAAUCAUUUGUCUAUUAAUUGUGGACCUGUAUGAACGGUAAAAUGAGGGCCCGACUGUCUCUUAUAAUAAAUCAAUUAAACUGAUCUCCCAGUACAAAAGCUGGAAUAAAAUCAUAAGACCAGAAGACCCUGUGAAGCUUAAACCAACCUAUUAAAUCAUAUAAUAGCUACUUUCGGUUGGGGCGACCUUGGAAAAAAAAAGAACUUCCACAUAUGACCUUCAUCAUACACAGGCUGACAAGCCCACAUGACCCAGCACAGCUGAUAAUAGAACCAAGUUACUCCAGGGAUAACAGCGCCAUCUUCUUCAAGAGCCCAUAUCAAAAAGAAGGUUUACGACCUCGAUGUUGGAUCAGGACAUCCUAAUGGUGCAGCCGCUAUUAAGGGUUCGUUUGUUCAAC
This 487-nucleotide ribosomal RNA is filed under the name Prosymna frontalis. RNAcentral's name for it is "partial large subunit ribosomal RNA". It matches the Rfam family "Bacterial large subunit ribosomal RNA", at positions 1816 to 2585 of the family's 2925-position model. The record is from RNAcentral. Lineage: Eukaryota; Metazoa; Chordata; Lepidosauria; Squamata; Prosymnidae.